This 77-nucleotide small nucleolar RNA is filed under the name Dasypus novemcinctus (nine-banded armadillo). RNAcentral describes it as "Small nucleolar RNA SNORD113/SNORD114 family (ENSDNOG00000026969.1)". It matches the Rfam family "Small nucleolar RNA SNORD113/SNORD114 family". From Rfam's summary of the family: The imprinted human domain at 14q32 contains two clusters of tandemly repeated small nucleolar RNAs named 14q(I) and 14q(II) snoRNAs. Lineage: Eukaryota; Metazoa; Chordata; Mammalia; Cingulata; Dasypodidae. The record is from RNAcentral.
UGGAUCAAUGAUGAAUACUUGUAGGGCAUCUGAAUAAAAGACUUUGAUUAAACCCUGCCUGUAACUCUUAGGUCCAU